RNA transcript from Tripterygium wilfordii, 2890 nucleotides. It is a transcript of the gene named two-component response regulator-like APRR9, with no coding region annotated. The transcript has 9 exons. NCBI's taxonomy places the organism in Eukaryota, Viridiplantae, Streptophyta, Magnoliopsida, Celastrales, Celastraceae. The record is from RefSeq and is a predicted model, not a curated record.
UAUCUAUCCGCCUUUAGAUCUCUGUGACUCGGAUCGUAGGUUAAGACUUAAGAUCAGGUUCGUAGACGUGGCACUCUCUGGGCCCCAUAUGAGAUCCCAGAUAUUUCCCCAACCAAGUUGGCGGGGAGAGAAGCAGAGACGACCGUAGGAUUCUUAGGCAGUUGGCGAUGGACUCGGUAUUUCCGCCGUCUGAUUUCACCAAAAACAUUUCGGGAUAUUUUGUAGGCUUUUUCUUGCUUUGACAGAAGAAGAUGAGAUUGCUCUUGUGAGUUUUGCUUUCCUGACAGACAUACAGACCGACAGAGAGCGAAGGAGAUGGGUGACGUGGUACUCAGUAGUGAUAAGGGGAAGUCAGAGAACGAGACAGAAAGUAGUAAGCAGAGGAAGAAGAGGGAAGAAGAGGAAGAGAAGGAUGCUGGUGGAUCGCCGGUGGUGAAGUGGGAAAGGUUGUUACCGAGGACGGUGAUGAGGGUUUUGCUGGUUGAAGCCGAUGACUCCACCAGGCAGAUAAUAGCUGCUCUCUUGAGGAAGUGUAGUUACAGAGUUGCUGCUAUUUCCGAUGGAUUAAAGGCAUGGGAGAUACUGAAGGGAAGGCCCCAUAAUAUUGACCUCAUACUGACGGAAGUGGAGUUGCCAUCAAUAUCUGGAUAUGCUCUUCUUACCUUAAUUAUGGAGCAUGAGAUUUGCAAAAAUAUUCCUGUUAUAAUGAUGUCCUCGCAGGACUCAAUCAACACUGUUUAUAAAUGCAUGCUGAGAGGUGCUGCUGACUAUCUUGUCAAACCUAUUCGGAGAAACGAACUGAGAAAUUUGUGGCAGCAUGUAUGGAGAAGACAACAUGCAACUGUUGACAGAAAUGGCGAAUUAGAGGAAAGUGUUGGACAGGAAAAGGUCGAGGCCAUUUCUGAUAAUGAUGCUGCUAGUAAUCAUUCGAGUGGUAACAUGGCUCGUGAUCAAAGGAAGGAGUACAUUGAGAAAGGGAGUGAUGCGCAGAGUUCUUGUACAAAGCCAGACUUAGAAGCAGAGAGUUCCCACAAGGAACAUAUGCAGGAUUUUUCGUUACCGAUGUGGGGCAAACUUUUACUGAACGACAUUAAAAUGCGGAAUGACAAAGCAAACACCCAAAUUGGACAGAAAUUUCCAAAGCAUGGCAGUGAAGCUGAGGGAUCAAUGGCUAUUGCGUGCAAGGAAGUUAACAUGGCUGUCGGCAAGGAUAUUGAACUCGAAAGUCAUAUGCAGGAUGCUAAUCUUGCUGGGGAGGCUGGUGACAAUGCUGAUGCUCUGGCCAACUCUUCCGGAGAAGCUAUCGAUUUCAUGGGAGCAUUUACAUGUUACAUUUCUUCUUCAAAUAAUGCCAAUGGGAAGUCUGAUUCUUCCCCUCAUUUGGAUUUAUUUUUGACAAGAUCCCAACCUAGUGGCCCAGAGAAUCAAAUUAAUGAAGAAAGACGUAUUCUCAGACAAUCUACUGCUUCAGCUUUUACACGGUAUGCUAGUCGGGCAUUGAAUUCCUCACAUUUAGAAUCGGCGAGUAGUCCUACGCAACAGGAAGGAAUGAGAACAAAUUCUGGGAAAAGGUCAUUCAAUAUUACUACUGGUUAUAACUCUGAUACUCUUAAUUUAAGCACCCAGAGGAGUAUCAUUUCUCCUGAUCUCACACUAUGCACUCGGAGAAAUUUUAUCUCUCUACCGACUUGUCAAUCUAAACAUUCUGAAAUUGGAACUUCAUGUCCCCAGCAAAUAUUGUUUCCUGUCCCAAUUCCAGUAAGAGGGGCAAGGCUUAAUAUUGCAUGCAGAUGUGGCUCUGCACUUUCUCCACUGUUCUGUUCAACUUCUGGUUCAUCACCAAUGGUGAGUCCAGGUUCAGCCAACCAGCAGGAACCAACUUGUCAGGGGAAUCCAUUUCAUAAUCCCAAUUUUGAAAAUAAUAGUACUGAACGACUUUGCAAUUCACUUGGUCAAACUGCAAACAACUACACCAGUCUGACAUUGCACAAGCAAGACCAGAAAUUGUAUUCUUUAGAAGAUCGAGGAUGUAUUUCUCCUGCUACAGAUCAUAUUGCAAGUAGCAAUUUCUGCAACGGCUCUUUAAGUCGUCUUAACAGCAUGGGAUAUCAAAUUGCCUGUGGAAGUAACAGCAAUGUUGAGCAAGUCGCUGUUACCAGGCCUGCUGUAGAGAGCAAGCUUGAAGAAGCAGAAACUUUUGCAAACAAUGAAAAAUCACCUCGGUCCAUCCAAAGAGAAGCAGCGCUUACCAAGUUCCGCUUGAAGCGGAAAGAUAGAUGCUUUGAAAAAAAGGUUCGGUAUGAGACUCGGAAAAAACUCGCCGAACAGCGACCCAGAGUGAAAGGGCAAUUUGUUCGACAAGCUCUUAGUGUAACUACACCAGCAGAAACAGAGAACCACCAUGACGAAUAAGGGAAGUGCUAGCUUCAUUCUCUCUCAGGGUUGAAGAUUUGAGAGCGCUAAGAUUCAGACCGUGUCGAAGGCUCGUUGUGUGAGCGACUUAAGGUUCUCCUAUGGAGUUGUCCUUUCAAUUGGAGGACGAAGUGGUCGCUAUGUUGGAGGCUCGCUACGGCGAGCGGCAAAGUCCUCCUGCGAUUGUCCUUUCAGCUGGAGGACAAGGUGACCGUCGCUACCAGGCCAUGUCAAAGAUCCGUUGGGUGAGUGGCUCGAGGUUCUCCCGAAGGCCCGGUCUUUCCGUUGGUGAGUGCAGAAUUCGUUUGGAAUUAACCGGCUUGGCUUUGGGCCUGGUGCUUGGGUUAGUGGGCUGUUGGGUUGAAUUUGGAUCUCAUACCAAAUUUAAUUUGGUCCCUACAAUAAUCACUAGCAAUAUAUUCCUUUGUUUUUCCAAACUUAUUUUUCAAAAGAUAAAAAAAAAAAAAAUGGUUUGCCU